RNAcentral lists this ribosomal RNA (440 nucleotides) under uncultured bacterium. Its description in RNAcentral is "partial 16S ribosomal RNA". It matches the Rfam family "Bacterial small subunit ribosomal RNA", at positions 338 to 795 of the family's 1533-position model. The record is from RNAcentral.
CCUACGGGAGGCAGCAGUGGGGGAUAUUGCACAAUGGGGGAAACCCUGAUGCAGCGACGCCGCGUGUGGGAAGACGGUCCUCUGGAUUGUAAACCACUGUCCCCAGGGACGAAGAUGACGGUACCUGGGGAGGAAGCUCCUGCUAACUACGUGCCAGCAGCCGCGGUAAUACGUAGGGAGCGAGCGUUGUCCGGAAUUACUGGGUGUAACGGGAGCGUAGGCGGGACUGCAAGUUGGGUGUCAAAUCUACCGGCUCAACCGGUAGCCGCACUCAAAACUGCAGUUCUUGAGUGAAGUAGAGGCAGGCGGAAUGCCUAGUGUAGCGGUGAAAUGCGUAGAUAUUAGGAGGAACACCAGUGGCGAAGGCGGCCUGCUGGGCUUUUACUGACGCUGAGGCUCGAAAGUGUGGGGAGCAAACAGGAUUAGAUACCCUGGUAGUC